GGGAAAACAGGCUGAUAUCACUCAGUUUCAAUCCCAGCUUGAUGCAUUGGGCCUAAAAGUUAUCCAAGUGACUGCAGAUGGUAAUUGUUUCUUCAGUUUGCAGGGCGCUUGCAGAUCAGUUGGAAGGUAGUGAGAAGGAACAUGGAAAGUAUCGCAGCAUGGCGGUACAAUAUAUAAUGAAGAAUCGCGAAAUGUUUGAGCCCUUUAUUGAGGAUGAGAUCCCAUUUGAUGAAUACUGCCAAUCAAUGGAAAAGGAUGGCACAUGGGCUGGACAUAUGGAAUUGCAGGCAGCUUCUCUUGUUACACGUAGUAAUAUAUGCAUUCACCAGUACAUGUCACCUCGCUGGUACAUCCGGAAUUUUGAUCAAUGUGGAGCUCGUAUGGUUCAUUUAUCUUAUCAUGAUGAGGAACAUUACAACAGUGUGCGAUUAAAAGAAGACCCUUGCGAUGGGCCAGCCAGACCAAUUAUAAUUGAGGUUUCUUUUCUGAUUUUUUUCCUUUCAAUUAUGUCUUUUUAUACUAAUAUUUGUUUAUCCAUGGUUAAGUUUGAACUUGUAAUUCGUAGCAAUAGCCUGAUAACUUUCAGUUUGUGAAAGGCUGAUGCUGACCUUUCUGCAACAUCUCAUAAAGCAAAAGCUGCAGCCAGCAAGUCUAAAGAGGGAGCUGUUAAGGAUAUUACUGAUGCUGGAUCAAUCAUAUUGGUAAUGGCAGGAAGUGGUUGUCAAAAUGCUGAAAAAGUCGAACAGGUUUUAUUACAAGUAGAUGGUGAUGCUGAUGCUGCAAUAGAGUUUCUGGUAGCAGAACGAGAGGCAGAUGACUACUCAGCAGAAAAUGAUACCCUUCAAUGUCAUGUAGAUACUUCUCAUGGUACUGUCUGGGCAAUAAUUUAACACAAGUUGAAUAAUUUUAUGGCUGCUGCUGAUUUCCUUGUUUCCAUCUUUUUAUUGGCAUUUCAUCCAUUCAUUUAACAUCGGUCAGGAACUUCUGUGUGUGAUAGCCCCCAGAUUUCAAGUGUCCUUUUGUUUGUAGAUAUCAAUUUCUUGGAAAAGCUUUUCCUAAAAUGAUUUUAACAGUUGUGCAAAUUGGUGAAAGAUUUGGCUUUGGAUGUUUUAACAUAGAUUGAAGAAAGUUGGGGUUUCUUGAUGAUUUCCUAAUAAAAUGUUUUCUUGCUUGAACUAUUGAUUCUGUGCAGAGAUUUAGAAGAGUCAGCUUGAUAAUUUAUGUUCUAUUCCAGAUAUGUCUUGUCGUUUUAUUUUUACCCAUUUUACCCUGUGUUUUUGGCAUUAUUGUCAUUUCACAAUGUUCAGGUAGAAAAUGACUUCUUGUUGCUUUCAUCGAUGGUCUGACACUUGGUCCAUGGACUUCCCUGUUUCAUUGAAUAGCACCAUCUUCAUUGGUAUUAUCUGUUAGGGCAUGCACAUGCAUGUAUAUAAAAUGAGAUUCAAUGCAAGAAUGUGGAAGAAAAUUUUCAUUCUAUUUGUUAUCUUUUGCAUGCGCGCAUGUUAAGAAUACACAAUUUUCAACAUGUUUUGCAUCAUGAAUUUGUACAACAGAAAGAUAGUCAAGCCAAGUAAAUUUUUUAUCAUCUCAGUAUCAUAUUUGAAUUAGUUUUGCCUUACAUUUGGUUGGCAUCUCUCAGUUUUCCACUUUGGUCUUGCUUUUCAUGAUAAUAUUUGAGGUGAUUGCAUAAUAUGUCUUCUUAGUCUAAUUUUCAUUACUCCUAAAAAUGCCAAGGAGAUGGUGAAGAUGGAAACUGUGAGCAACAAAAGGAAGAGUCUCUAAAGGAGACCCACAAACACAGUCCAUCCAACAAUAGAAUCAAACAAACCCAUGACAAUAGUAGUUCCCAGGCAGAUGACAAGGUUGUUAUUUUUCUAUAAAGAAACCUUUGCUUGGCCAAUAUCUCCUUGAAAAAGAGUUGCUUUUAAUUUCAUGUUUUUCAUAUACUUCAUUCUCUAUUUUUAUCUUUGUGUAAUCGCUGAAGAUACCGAGAAAUAAGAGCUGCCCUUGUGGAUCUAAAAAAAAAUACAAGGCUUGUUGUGGAGCUGUCAAGGGGAGACCUGCUGCAAAGUUUAUAGUGUAUGCUUCUUGAACUCCUUAUCCUCUUUCCAGGAUUCUGUUUAAGCUAUAGUCUUUUAGUUUUGAAGUUCCAUCUGGUUCGGUGUUUAGGGUUCACUUGCUUUCAUAGGUGAGGACAACAUUUUUUUCAUUUUUUGCAAAGGAGGGGGAGGGGAAACUCAAAUUUGGGCCUUUACGCAAGUUGAAAGGUGCAUCAACCAUUAGUCUAAGGCUUUGAGUUGCAUAUUUUUAGAUAUAGAAAAUGAGAAGGAAGUCUUCUUAAAAAAGUUCUGUUGGCCAUAAUGUUAUCAAAGCUCAAAAGUAGUUUUCAAAGUAACCAAAAUAUUGACUCAAGAAAAAGUAGGAAAGGAAGGAAGCAAGGCAAUAAAGGAGGUCCUGCUGAAUCUGAGUCAAACUGUGGACCUGAUGGUGGGUUGCCUGAUGUGGGUGCUCUUUGUAUAUGAACUUGACUUUGAUGCCUCCUGAUGAUUUCACCCCACUUCAUGGAGUCAGUCGGGAGGAUUUAUGCUGUCCUCUUUGAUUUAUCAUGAGUUAGGCAAGCCCCUUAACCCUAAACAUCCCCAUCCAGGAGGUGAAACAAAGGGGAGGGGUUUUACUGCCGUGACAGGCUACAUGGAAGAGUUGCUUAAUGAUGGCUGCUCAUAUUUCAUGUAGGUGCAUUCCUUUUUGGCAAAACUCAUUGUAUGGUGUAAAAGGGCAACAAAGAAAAGGGUAAUGUACGUUACAAUUUUUGUUCUUUUGACAUCUUGAAGACAUUGAUGAAAUUCCAUACUGCAAACACUUCAUUCUGGAAGAGAGAACUUUCAGGCAAAGUGUUGUGCUAGCCAAAUUACGUUAGUUAUAUGAAAAAUCUGUCACAGGAUGAGCAUGUAUAAAUUUGCUUGGGAAAUUUGCUAUGGAAUUUGGGAAUUUGGUCCUAUUGUAAUGCAUAAGUUGGAAAGCAAAAUUGUGGGUUUAAAUCUUUAGGUUAAAGCAAUCUGAUCGGAUGAUCCAUGGAGGAAUUACAACAUUGAAAAUGGGUGUAUUCUAGUAAUAGUGGAUGUUGAGGUUAAUCAACUCUACAAUCGAACCUAACCUUUAUGUGGGGAAAGUUUGAACUAGAAUUAAACUGCAGCGUGUGGAUUAAGGUUU
RNAcentral lists this unclassified non-coding RNA (3210 nucleotides) under Hevea brasiliensis (rubber tree). Lineage: Eukaryota; Viridiplantae; Streptophyta; Magnoliopsida; Malpighiales; Euphorbiaceae. The record is from RNAcentral.